GAUGAACGCUGGCGGCGUGCUUAACACAUGCAAGUCGAACGAUGAAGCCCAGCUUGCUGGGUGGAUUAGUGGCGAACGGGUGAGUAACACGUGAGUAACCUGCCCUUAACUCUGGGAUAAGCCUGGGAAACUGGGCCAAUUACGGGAAAGGAGGGCCUACCGAAGGGGGGGGGUGGGAAAGAUUAAUCGGUUUUGGUUGGACUCGCGGCCUAUCGGCUUGUUGGUGAGGUAAUGGCUCACCAAGGCGACGACGGGUAGCCGGCCUGAGAGGGUGACCGGCCACACUGGGACUGAGACACGGCCCAGACUCCUACGGGAGGCAGCAGUGGGGAAUAUUGCUCAAUGGGCGAAAGCCUGAUGCAGCGACGCCGCGUGAGGGAUGACGGCCUUCGGGUUGUAAACCUCUUUCAGUAGGGAAGAAGCGAAAGUGACGGUACCUGCAGAAGAAGCACCGGCUAACUACGUG
Molecule: ribosomal RNA, 466 nt
Filed under: uncultured bacterium
Lineage: Bacteria
Description: partial 16S ribosomal RNA
Rfam family: Bacterial small subunit ribosomal RNA
Source: RNAcentral